This 229-nucleotide unclassified non-coding RNA is filed under the name plant metagenome. Its description in RNAcentral is "partial contains small subunit ribosomal RNA, internal transcribed spacer 1, and 5.8S ribosomal RNA". The record is from RNAcentral.
UCUCCGUAGGUGAACCUGCGGAGGGAUCAUUACAGAGUUCUCGCCCUACCGGGUAGUUUUCCCACCCACUGUUAUUGCUACUGUCGUUGCUUUGGCGGGCCGCCAGGCCCUGCCCGGCCGCCGGCCCUGGCUGGCGCGCGCCCGUCAAAGGCGCCUAAACUCUGAAUGUCAGUGUCGUCUGAGUACUAUACAAUAGUUAAAACUUUCAACAACGGAUCUCUUGGUUCUG